AUGGAGGCAGAUCCAGAAAAAGCGGCCCUAUGUCUUGAAGAGAGCAAAUUAUUUAGAGAGGGCAGCUACAGUUUUGGCCAACGAGCGGCUGUCGUCAGCAAACACAAUAUGAAUCCAGCUGAAUGGUGGGUGCAUUUUGGCGGAUCCGCGAGAAA
Phoenix dactylifera (date palm) is the source of this 155-nucleotide non-coding RNA. Lineage: Eukaryota; Viridiplantae; Streptophyta; Magnoliopsida; Arecales; Arecaceae. The record is from RefSeq and is a predicted model, not a curated record.